This 1239-nucleotide ribosomal RNA is filed under the name Staphylococcus nepalensis. RNAcentral's name for it is "bacterial SSU rRNA". It matches the Rfam family "Bacterial small subunit ribosomal RNA", at positions 28 to 1244 of the family's 1533-position model. Lineage: Bacteria; Bacillati; Bacillota; Bacilli; Caryophanales; Staphylococcaceae. The record is from RNAcentral.
UAUGAGCGCUGCUAAACAUGCAGUCGACCGGAAAGGAUCAUGAGCUUGCUCCUUUGACUUUAGCGGCGGACGGGUGAGUAACACGUGGGUGACCUGCCUAUCACAGUGGAAUAACUCCGGGAAACCGGGGCUAAUGCCGUAUAAGAUUUCAAACCGCAUGGUGCGGAGGUGAAGAUGGUUUUGCUAUCACUUAUCUGAUGGACCCUCGCCUUGUUAGCGUAGUUGGUGGGGUAAUGGGUUACCAACGCAACUAUACGCGCCAACCUGUACAGGGCUGCAUCGGCCACUCUGAUAACUGCACCACACUCCCAGACUCCUACGGGAGGCAGAAUAUUGGGAAUCGUCCGCAAUGGGUGAAAAGCCUGACCCACCAGCGCCGAUGAGAGUGAUGAAGGUCUUCAGAUCGUAAAACUCUGUUAUUACGGAAGAACAAAUGUGUAAGUAACUGUGCACGUCUUGACGGUACCUAAUCACAAAGCCACGGCUAACUACGUGCCAGCAGCCGCUGUAAUACAUUCGUGGCAAGCGUUAUCCGGAAUUAUUGGGCGUAAAGCGCGCGUAAGCUCGUUUCUUAAGUCUGAUGUGAAAGCCCACGAUUCAACCGUGGAUGGUCAGUGGAAACUGAGAAACUUAAUUGCGGAAUAGGAAAGUGGAAUUCCAUGUGUAGCAGUAACAUGCACAGAGAUAUCGAGGAACACCAGUGGCACUGGCGACUUUCUGGUCUGUCACUGACACUGAUGUGCGAUAGCGUGCCUAUCAAACAAGAUUAGAUACCCUGGUAGUCCACGCCGUAGACGAUGAGUGCUAACUGUUACGGGGUUUCCGCCCCUUACUGCUGCAGCUAACGCAUUAAGCACUCCGCCUGGAGAGUACGAACUCGACGUUGAAACUCAAAGGAAUUGACAGCGUACCCGCUCAAUCCGAUGCAACAUGUAGUAUCAUUCCAAGCACCGCACAUAAACCUUACCAGAUCUUGACAUCCUUUGACAACUCUAGACAUAAAAUCUUCCCCUUCCGGGUGACAAACUGACCGGUGGCUGCAUGGUUGUCGUCAACUCCUGUAAUGAGAUGUUGGGUUAAGUUCCCGUAACCAGCGCCAUCCUUUAGGUUACUUUGCAAAAAUUAGCUUGGGGUACACCUAGGUGAAAGGCGGGGAAAAAACCCAAAAGAAUAUGGGGAUUAAAGUCCAAAGCAUUAAUGCCCCUUUAAAUUUGGGGCAUAACAACGGGCUUACCAUAG